This 271-nucleotide ribosomal RNA is filed under the name uncultured archaeon. Its description in RNAcentral is "partial 16S ribosomal RNA". It matches the Rfam family "Archaeal small subunit ribosomal RNA", at positions 477 to 747 of the family's 1478-position model. The record is from RNAcentral.
CAGCGUCCCGAGUGGCGAUCCUGUUUAUUUGGCCUAAAGCGUCCGUAGCUGGUUUAGUAAAUCUUUUGUGAAACUGUUUUGCUCAACGAAACAACGUGCAGGAGAGACUGCUUGACUAGGGACCGGGAGGAGUCAGAGAUAUAUCAGGGGGAGCGGUAAAAUGCUAUAAUCCCUGAUAGAUCACCUGUGGCGAAGGCGUCUGACUAGAACGGGUCCGACAGUGAGGGACGAAAGCUAGGGGAGCAAACCGGAUUAGAUACCCGAGUAGUCC